Molecule: ribosomal RNA, 277 nt
Filed under: uncultured fungus
Lineage: Eukaryota; Fungi
Description: partial 18S ribosomal RNA
Rfam family: Eukaryotic small subunit ribosomal RNA
Source: RNAcentral
UUAUACAGUGAAACUGCGAAUGGCUCAUUAAAUCAGUUAUCGUUUAUUUGAUAGUUCCUUUACUACAUGGUAUAACUGUGGUAAUUCUAGAGCUAAUACAUGCUUAAAAUCUCGACCCUUUGGAAGAGAUGUAUUUAUUAGAUAAAAAAUCAAUGUCUUCGGACUCUUUGAUGAUUCAUAAUAACUUUUCGAAUCGCAUGGCCUUGUGCUGGCGAUGGUUCAUUCAAAUUUCUGCCCUAUCAACUUUCGAUGGUAGGAUAGUGGCCUACCAUGGUUU